Molecule: long non-coding RNA, 1793 nt
Organism: Petromyzon marinus (sea lamprey)
Lineage: Eukaryota; Metazoa; Chordata; Hyperoartia; Petromyzontiformes; Petromyzontidae
Source: RefSeq, a predicted model, not a curated record
ACAGGUCGGGUGUGUGCUCACGUGGGGACGUCGGGCCGAAGGCCCCGAUGGUGCUGGGCACAAACAGCUUGAGUCCAUUCUCUGCCGCGAUGUCCAGCACAUUGUGCAGCCCUGAGCAACCAGCCGGGCGUGUUGUCCACUCCACGGCGGCGGCAGCGGCUAAAAGGCAACCCAUGAGCGUGGUGUAGGAUGUCGACAUGUGGAAACUGGAGAAUCUGGAGGAAACCCAUGCAGAACAGAGGGAGAGAACAUCCAAACUCCACACAGAAAACCAAACCCACCAGGGCCCUUCUUGCUGCGAGGCAUGAGUGGCACUACUGCACUGCCACCCCUGCCACCCUAUAUUCCACGCUUGCCGUCAUGGAAGCGAUGAAGGCACAUGUGGAAUAGACGUGGCCAAGGACACGUGGCAAAGACACAGGACAGCCCUGACAGUCAGGCAUCCUGCACACUUAAACCCGCCAGCUGUCACAUCCAAGCGACAUCUAUCGCCAGAUGUGACAUUAACUGCUUUGUCUAGCAAAAACAUCUAACGGUGUACGAGUCGCAUUUAAAAACUAAUAUUUGUUUAGAUUUUUUUUUACAAUUAUCUCUAUUAUUUUUGAACGAAAUUGAAAAGACAAAUGUGUGGGAAAAACAUAAUUAUAUUUCACAAAAUACAGUUUAGGCUGGAUAUAAGCACACCCCUUGGGCGCAAGGGCCAGCUGUGCUUAUAUGAGGCUUGCAUAGUUAACUAAAGUUGGCUUCAGAUGUUCAUCCCUCAGGCAAGCUUGGAAUUUGUUUAUUUAAUGAACAAUUUGCAUAUUAGUUUUUUUUUACAUGCACCAACAUGAGCCGGAAUGAGCUGGCACAGACCUCGCGUUGCAAGGGCAUUGUGCCCCGAUUUGCUGGGCCCUGACUUGCUUUGGUGCAUCUGCUAAAGGGCUCAAAUUCAAAUCUCGGUCUUCUCUAUCACUGAUGCCGACACUUGGUGCUGCCACGAUGUAAUCGGUAGCACACUGGACUUGCAGAUCUUGUGUGAGAAUUUUGAAUUGUAGUUUGGGAUGUCACUUCAUAGACUAAUUCUCUAUGUUGUGAUGCCUUUUUUCAUGCCUUUUAUUUUUGCUCCAUUUCUUGAUUUGUUUAUUCUUAUUAUUAUUUUCUGAGGGCCUUCAUUUGCUUGGUAGUUGCUACGAAUAGGAUUUGUCGCUUCUAUAUAAUAAGUGUACAAAUUUGUGGGAUGCAAUUAGCAUGAAUAUUAUAUAAUUUUAUAAGGAAGCCAGUGGAGCUGUGUACUUUAAAAUCUCGAUUGAAAACUUAAUUUAUUUAGACCUGUUUUUCGUGUUUAGAUGGUUGUCCUUCCCCCAAUUAAAUCUACCAAUACGGCAGUUGCAACAACGGUGCGAGUGUCUUAACCCUCCCCCUGCCACCGCCUCUGUCCUUAAAACAGCUGAGUAACACCAGUCAGCUGAUCGGCAGGUCUCAUAUGGUGGGGUAAAAUGUGGAUAGAUGUCUCACCGGCAUGGAAGAGUUGAGCAAAUACUCUAGGAGCUCUGGUAAACCUCCUUCUUAAAAAAAAAAAAAACCCCACUUGAACAAUCGGCCAAAGAUCUUCACUGACGGAGCUGUGUCUCGUUGCAUCCAAUGUGCACGUGCAAAAUUUGACGCCAAACAGCGUUUAGAGUUGUAGCCACUUGGCUAGCUCAGCGCGUGAGAAGUUAAAGUUUGUGCACUCACGCCUCAUCGGUAGAAAUAUAUCGAGCGAUGGAAAAUUUUCGGGGUGGAAUGAUUCACUGACAUUCAUAUUUAGCCUU